RNAcentral lists this long non-coding RNA (788 nucleotides) under Equus caballus (horse). RNAcentral describes it as "lncRNA (ENSECAG00000038164.3)". Lineage: Eukaryota; Metazoa; Chordata; Mammalia; Perissodactyla; Equidae. The record is from RNAcentral.
AUCAGUGGUACAGUCAGGAGCCACACCAGGCAGCUGGACUCCAGAACCGUGCUCCCUCUGGUGCCGGACGAGAUGCCGUGCAGCGCAGUGACGCUGGGGUUUACUGUCGUCGGGGGCCAGGUCGAAGGCACGCUGCCAGGAGGAACGAGCCUUCCUCACGUGAGGCUAGACUACGUUUUCUACAGAAAGCCAGAAGUUUGGGAACUGAGAGGCACAGACAUAGAUGAGAUGCGGGGAGCGCAUUUGAAGACAUCUACAUCCCAUCAGAUGAGAGAGCCCUCAUCCAUCAUAAUCCGUGUUCCCUGGAAGGAGGCGUGUCCAGCAUUUCCUAUUCCAGCCAGGCCCCUUGUCAGCGUGUGAGACAUUGUCAAGAAUGCCCCCCACUCCUUGGAAGGAGAGUCUUUGGUAGUCUGGCCUGAAGGCUCUGGACUGAGUGAGACAAAUAGGUUGCUAAUAAUGUCUGUAAACUCUGGACCCCAUUUCCCGACAUUAAAAACUUCAUCUAAAAAGUCUGAGUGAUAUUUACAAAUAGGAGCCUGCCCCCUUGUCCCCAGCUCUUUUUAGUCUGUGACAAAUAGGUCGUUGUACACAGUGAGGACACAUGGGACUGUGCACCUUCCUCUGCCGCAUUCCUCGAUCUGCCAGCCUUUCGCUGUCCCUCCACACCCCUGCUCGUCUAGAAGCACACACUGCACCACAGACCUGUGUGCGCCCGUGUGCACCCACGUGCACACACCGAAGGCUCAAAGGUGGGAAGUCACCAAAGCAGACAGCGGAACCAGGUCUUA